GGGAGGGACUGAAGGACUUAGAACUCAGAAUUUCAUUGCUGAAAGGGACUUCAGAGAUAAUCUAAUUCAAACUUCUUUCUUAGAUAAAGAAACUGAGAAAAUUUUUUUUUCUUCAAGGUCAUACAGGUUUCCUACCUCCUUCGCCUUGAGGUCUCUACAUUACCGGCGAUAAAGGAGCUACUUACACACAACUAAUUAUUAGAAUCAGCAAACAACUGAUUAAAAUCUAUUUUAAAAAUGGAUUCCAACUCCUCAGAGGGCUUGCAUAGAGAGGUGACAACAUGUCUUUUCAUGACCAUCCAAAGAAUCCCUUGGCAAUAAGUCCUUUCUCUUACGUCUUCCUCUGCCUAUGCAAAGGUCCAUGCUCAGAAGAGGGGAAGGUACAAAGGCAAAGAAGAAUGGAUCCCUGUUCUCUUGGAGUAUGGAAGAUUACAUGUGGGUCCAGGUGAAAAUUUUAGAAUAUGGCAAACACACAAGAAAAAUACAAAUUCCAUUUAUGUAAAGGGAAAAUGACUACUCUCUUCUCAGACCAUCUCCUGUACAACUUUCUCAACAGAUACCCUGGGUUCUAUUCUCUUGAUUAUUUCCUGCCUUUCAUGGAAUAUUAUUUCUGGAAAGCUACAGUCAUAUUUAAUUCACUACCUUCUCCAUAGCCUCUCUUGGCUAACUCUGUCAUACUUUACAAAGUUGGUGUACUCUUCCCCUCUCACCCAUAUCUGGAACCCCAGACCAUGCAUGAUCAAAUCAACUCUGUUAUUGUUCUAGGAUGGGCUGUGUCAUUUUGCUCACCUAUAGGGUCCCCUUUACCCCUUCAGUAACAAUUUAGGUCAAAAGUGCUCUUCUCUGGUCAUUUACUCCCAAUUAUAUAUUGUUUUUCU
Sarcophilus harrisii (Tasmanian devil) is the source of this 878-nucleotide long non-coding RNA. RefSeq lists it as uncharacterized. The record is from RefSeq and is a predicted model, not a curated record. NCBI's taxonomy places the organism in Eukaryota, Metazoa, Chordata, Mammalia, Dasyuromorphia, Dasyuridae. The transcript is spliced from 3 exons.